Molecule: ribosomal RNA, 472 nt
Filed under: uncultured bacterium
Lineage: Bacteria
Description: partial 16S ribosomal RNA
Rfam family: Bacterial small subunit ribosomal RNA
Source: RNAcentral
AGUGAACGCUGGCGGUAGGCCUAACACAUGCAAGUCGAACGGCAGCACAGUAAGAGCUUGCUCUUACGGGUGGCGAGUGGCGGACGGGUGAGGAGUACAUCGGAAUCUACUUUUUCGUGGGGGAUAACGUAGGGAAACUUACGCUAAUACAGCAUACGACCUACGGGUGAAAGCAGGGGAUCUUCGGACCUUGCGGGAGUGAAUGGGCCGAUGGCGGAUUAGCUUGUUGGCGGGGUAGAGGCCCACCAAGGCUAUGACGGGUAGCCGGUCUGAGAGGGUGACAGGCCAAAUUGGGACUGAGAUACGGCCCAGACUCCUACGGGAGGCAGCAGUGGGGAAUAUUGCACAAUGGGCGGAAGCCUGAUGCAGCAACGCCGCGUGCGGGAUGACGGCCUUCGGGUUGUAAACCGCUUUCGCCUGUGACGAAGCGUGAGUGACGGUAAUGGGUAAAGAAGCACCGGCUAACUACGUG